RNAcentral lists this ribosomal RNA (479 nucleotides) under uncultured bacterium. Its description in RNAcentral is "partial 16S ribosomal RNA". It matches the Rfam family "Bacterial small subunit ribosomal RNA", at positions 28 to 507 of the family's 1533-position model. The record is from RNAcentral.
GACGAACGCUGGCGGCGUGCUUAACACAUGCCAGUCGAACGAAGCUUCAUUACGGAUUCUUCGGAUGCAGUAUGAUAUGACUGAGUGGCGGCCGGGUGAGUAACGCGUUAGUAACCUGCCCUUCAGAGGGGGAUAGCGUUUGGAAACGAACGGUAAUACCGCAUAAUGUAUUUUGAUCGCAUGAUCGAGAUAUCAAAGAUUUAUCGCUGAAGGAUGGACUCGCGUCUGAUUAGGUAGUUGGUGGGGUAACGGCCAACCACGCGGACGAUCAGUAGCCGGACAGAGAGGUGGAUCGGCCACAUUGGGACUGAGACACGGCCCAGACACCUACGGGAGGCAGCAGUAGGGAAUAUUGCACAAUGGGCGCAAGUCGGAUGCAGCAACGCCGCGUGAAGGAAGACGGUUUUCGGAUUGUAAACUUCUGUUCUUAGUGAAGAAUAAUGACGGUAGCUAAGGAGCAAGCCACGGCUAACUACGUG